Molecule: long non-coding RNA, 481 nt
Filed under: Salvia miltiorrhiza (redroot sage)
Lineage: Eukaryota; Viridiplantae; Streptophyta; Magnoliopsida; Lamiales; Lamiaceae
Description: long non-coding RNA (SMIL_LNC013643)
Source: RNAcentral
GUGAGGGCAACAGAUCGGCGGAUUUUUUGGCUUCUCAAGCUUGGGAAGAGGGUUUUUGGCCUCAUGCCAUUGAUGGUUUAAAUGAUUUUGUCAAGGAGGAUGUUUCUAUUCCCUAUUUUACUCGUUUCGCUUGAUUUUUUGGUUUUUUUCUCUUCGUUCUGGAUCGGUUUCGAGCCGGGAGGCCUAAGGGUAAUGGUUCGGCCGGAAUCCUUGAGACCUCCUAACUCAGCUCUGUCAACCUUGAUCCUUGACGAGUACUCUUUUUCCUCAACUGUUUUGAGGUUUUAACGAGGCUCGGCCCUUAGUCUGCAGCUUUGUGCUUUCAAGGGUUUUUGGUUUUCCGUUGUUUCUUUUUAAUAAAAUCUUAUUUCAGCAGCAGGAAGUAUUUGAUAACAUGAUUUUAUAUACUUUUUGUUUAUUAUAUGACUUUAAAUCGUUGUAUUAGCUUUUUAAUUUUGCAAUUAUGAUUACAAUAGCAAUU